GCUUCACUCACGCUGCAGACCCUGCCUUGAGUGCGCAGCUCUCCGGCCCGCGUGAACGCUUCCCCCAGACACCACCACCCUUUGGAAUGGCCAGCAGGGGACCUGCCUAUGGCCUGAGCCGGGAGGUGCAGCAGAAGAUUGAGAAACAAUACGAUGCAGACCUGGAGCAGGUCCUGAUCCAAUGGACCACCGCCCAGUGCCGCAAGGAUGUGGGCCGGCCCCAGCCUGGGCGCGAGAACUUCCAGAACUGGCUCAAGGAUGGCACGAUGCUGUGUGAGCUCAUUAAUGGGCUGUACCCCAAGGGGCAGGCCCCAGUGAGGAAGAUCCAGUCCUCCGCCAUGGCCUUCAAGCAGAUGGAGCAGAUCUCCCAGUUCCUGCAAGCAGCCGAGCGCUACGGCAUCAACUCCACUGACAUCUUCCAGACUGUGGACCUCUGGGAAGGAAAGAACAUGGCCUGUGUGCAGCGGACACUGCUGAACCUGGGUGGGCUGGCGGUAGCCCAGAGCAAUGGGCUCUUCUCUGGAGAUCCCAACUGGUUUCCCAAGAAAUCCAAGGAGAACCCUCGGAACUUCUCAGGCGACCAGCUGCAGGAGGGCAAGAAUGUGAUUGGGUUACAGAUGGGGACCAACCGCGGGGCAUCUCAGGCAGGCAUGACCGGCUACGGGAUGCCAUGCCAGAUCCUCUGAUCCCACCCACAGCCC
Molecule: non-coding RNA, 701 nt
Organism: Delphinapterus leucas (beluga whale)
Lineage: Eukaryota; Metazoa; Chordata; Mammalia; Artiodactyla; Monodontidae
Source: RefSeq, a predicted model, not a curated record